GUGCUUGCUUUGGAAGCACAUAUACCAAAAUUGGAAUACAGAGAUUAGCAUGGCCCCUGCACAAAGAUGACACACAAAUUCAUGAAUCGUUCCAUACUUUU
RNAcentral lists this small nuclear RNA (101 nucleotides) under Cervus hanglu yarkandensis (Yarkand deer). The record is from RNAcentral. Lineage: Eukaryota; Metazoa; Chordata; Mammalia; Artiodactyla; Cervidae.